Molecule: ribosomal RNA, 1372 nt
Filed under: uncultured bacterium
Lineage: Bacteria
Description: bacterial SSU rRNA
Rfam family: Bacterial small subunit ribosomal RNA
Source: RNAcentral
GAUGAACGCUGGCGGCGUGCCUAAUACAUGCAAGUCGAGCGAACGGACGAGAAGCUUGCUUCUCUGAUGUUAGCGGCGGACGGGUGAGUAACACGUGGAUAACCUACCUAUAAGACUGGGAUAACUUCGGGAAACCGGAGCUAAUACCGGAUAAUAUUUUGAACCGCAUGGUUCAAAAGUGAAAGACGGUCUUGCUGUCACUUAUAGAUGGAUCCGCGCUGCAUUAGCUAGUUGGUAAGGUAACGGCUUACCAAGGCAACGAUGCAUAGCCGACCUGAGAGGGUGAUCGGCCACACUGGAACUGAGACACGGUCCAGACUCCUACGGGAGGCAGCAGUAGGGAAUCUUCCGCAAUGGGCGAAAGCCUGACGGAGCAACGCCGCGUGAGUGAUGAAGGUCUUCAGAUCGUAAAACUCUGUUAUUAGGGAAGAACAUAUGUGUAAGUAACUGUGCACAUCUUGACGGUACCUAAUCAGAAAGCCACGGCUAACUACGUGCCAGCAGCCGCGGUAAUACGUAGGUGGCAAGCGUUAUCCGGAAUUAUUGGGCGUAAAGCGCGCGUAGGCGGUUUUUUAAGUCUGAUGUGAAAGCCCACGGCUCAACCGUGGAGGGUCAUUGGAAACUGGAAAACUUGAGUGCAGAAGAGGAAAGUGGAAUUCCAUGUGUAGCGGUGAAAUGCGCAGAGAUAUGGAGGAACACCAGUGGCGAAGGCGACUUUCUGGUCUGUAACUGACGCUGAUGUGCGAAAGCGUGGGGAUCAAACAGGAUUAGAUACCCUGGUAGUCCACGCCGUAAACGAUGAGUGCUAAGUGUUAGGGGGUUUCCGCCCCUUAGUGCUGCAGCUAACGCAUUAAGCACUCCGCCUGGGGAGUACGACCGCAAGGUUGAAACUCAAAGGAAUUGACGGGGACCCGCACAAGCGGUGGAGCAUGUGGUUUAAUUCGAAGCAACGCGAAGAACCUUACCAAAUCUUGACAUCCUUUGACAACUCUAGAGAUAGAGCCUUCCCCUUCGGGGGACAAAGUGACAGGUGGUGCAUGGUUGUCGUCAGCUCGUGUCGUGAGAUGUUGGGUUAAGUCCCGCAACGAGCGCAACCCUUAAGCUUAGUUGCCAUCAUUAAGUUGGGCACUCUAAGUUGACUGCCGGUGACAAACCGGAGGAAGGUGGGGAUGACGUCAAAUCAUCAUGCCCCUUAUGAUUUGGGCUACACACGUGCUACAAUGGACAAUACAAAGGGCAGCGAAACCGCGAGGUCAAGCAAAUCCCAUAAAGUUGUUCUCAGUUCGGAUUGUAGUCUGCAACUCGACUACAUGAAGCUGGAAUCGCUAGUAAUCGUAGAUCAGCAUGCUACGGUGAAUACGUUCCCGGGUCU